RNAcentral lists this ribosomal RNA (403 nucleotides) under Verrucomicrobiota bacterium. RNAcentral describes it as "Verrucomicrobia bacterium partial 16S ribosomal RNA". It matches the Rfam family "Bacterial small subunit ribosomal RNA", at positions 355 to 776 of the family's 1533-position model. Lineage: Bacteria; Pseudomonadati; Verrucomicrobiota. The record is from RNAcentral.
UGGGGAAUAUUGCACAAUGGAGGGAACUCUGAUGCAGCGACGCCGCGUGAACGAAGAAGGCUUUCGAGUCGUAAAGUUCUUUUAUAUGGGAAGAUAAUGACGGUACCAUAAGAAAAAGCCCCGGCUAAAUACGUGCCAGCAGCCGCGGUAAUACGUAUGGGGCGAGCGUUGUCCGGAAUUAUUGGGCGUAAAGGGUACGUAGGCGGUCUAUUAAGUCAGGUGUGAAAGCGUGAGGCUUAACCUCAUUAAGCACUUGAAACUGAUAGACUUGAGUGAAGUAGAGGAAAGAGGAAUUCCUAGUGUAGCGGUGAAAUGCGUAGAUAUUAGGAGGAAUACCGGUGGCGAAGGCGACUUUCUGGACUUUCACUGACGCUCAGGUACGAAAGCGUGGGGAGCAAACAGG